Microcebus murinus (gray mouse lemur) is the source of this 902-nucleotide non-coding RNA. NCBI's taxonomy places the organism in Eukaryota, Metazoa, Chordata, Mammalia, Primates, Cheirogaleidae. The record is from RefSeq and is a predicted model, not a curated record.
ACAGUCUGUGCUUGCGGCCGGCGUCUGAAUGAGUGGCAUUCCGGUGCGACUGUGCCCUCAACCUUUGGGAUCCGACGCAAUCUCCAGGCAGAUGGUCGGAAUUGACUGCGAUUAGAGAACUCCCUCCUGGCCGGCUGGAGGAGCCACGCCAGAACUCGUCGCCAGUGGAGAGAAGUCCCCACACACUUGUUGGUGACCAGAUGCGACGUGCUCUGUGAUGAUCAGAAUGACAGUGACCAGAGAGAUUUUGGAAGCCAAAUAUUGAAAAAGCUGCCAUCACCCCAAGUCCCUGAAUGCCUGUGUGCAGAAGAGUUGCCGUUCAACGUGGGACAUUCCCUCCGAAUUGUCAUGUGGGAGAGUAAUAAACUGUUUAUUUUGACAAUACCCUAGGAAGACCAAGAAGAUAGAAAGAUCCUGGAUCCUUGAAUGAUCUGAUGGAGCAGAGAUACCUCAUCAGCCUCGAACUGCUCACCUUAGGAAUGUCUGGUUUCUUCUCAGGGACUGGAAGUUGUGUGAAACGAUAUUGUUCACCCAGGUGGUUGAAGGAAGCAUUUUGAAGACCGUGGCCUCCUCACAGGUCCAAUCCCCUUUGGGGUUGAUUCUGCCUCUGCCUGAGAAGUCCUGUGUCCAAAGAGGAACCUCCUCGGGGAUUCUGCUCAUCUGGAAAUCCAGUCGCUAACAGUUUAGAAAACAAUUCGUGUCUGAGAAUCCAAGUCCGCAUUCCCAUCUCCAAUCCCUGAUUGUUUCCAGGGAAAAGUCUUAUUUUGAACAUUUUCAAAAGUCGCAGAAAGUGGAUAAAUGAUGUAUGGGUGAGGACUCAGUUGAAGAAAAUAGAAUUUACUGUGAAAAAUAAAAUCUACCUAGCUUAAACAGAACUUGGUUCGCAGAAGUUAAACCCACGC